This 156-nucleotide ribosomal RNA is filed under the name Trichomitopsis termopsidis. Its description in RNAcentral is "5.8S ribosomal RNA". It matches the Rfam family "5.8S ribosomal RNA". From Rfam's summary of the family: 5.8S ribosomal RNA (5.8S rRNA) is a component of the large subunit of the eukaryotic ribosome. It is transcribed by RNA polymerase I as part of the 45S precursor that also contains 18S and 28S rRNA. Lineage: Eukaryota; Parabasalia; Trichomonadida; Trichomonadidae. The record is from RNAcentral.
ACUCUAAACAAUGGAUGUCUUGGCUCCUCACACGAUGAAGAACGUUGCAUAAUGUGAUAAGUAACUGGAGUUGCAAGCAUUGUGACAAGUUAAUCUUUGAAUGCAAAUUGCGCAGUUUAUCCCUAGGAUUAAGCGCAUAUCUACGCCAGUGCCCUU